CAAUAGCGUAUACUAAAGUUGUUGCGAUUAAAAAGCUCGUAGUUGGAUCUCAGGCAUGGGCGCACGGUCCGCCUCGCGGCGGUCACUGUGUGUUUUGUUUCCCAUCCUACGCUUCCCGGUUAUCAGCCCAUGGUGCUCUUCACUGAGCGUUUUGGGUGGCCGGAACGUUUACUUUGAAGAAAUUAGAGUGUUCAAAGCAGGCACGUCGCCUGAAUAAUGGUGCAUGGAAUAAUGGAAUAGGACCUCGGUUCUAUUUUGCUGGUUUUCGGAACACGAGGUAAUGAUUAAGAGGGACAGACGGGGGCAUCCGUAUUGCGGUGUUAGAGGUGAAAUUCUUGGAUCAUCGUAAGACGAACAACUGCGAAAGCAUUUGCCAAGCAUGUUUUCAUUAG
RNAcentral lists this ribosomal RNA (392 nucleotides) under uncultured eukaryote. RNAcentral describes it as "partial 18S ribosomal RNA". It matches the Rfam family "Eukaryotic small subunit ribosomal RNA", at positions 592 to 976 of the family's 1831-position model. The record is from RNAcentral.